GAUGAACGCUGGCGGCGUGCCUAACACAUGCAAGUCGAGCGAACAGAUGAGGAGCUUUCUCCUCUGACGUUAGCGGCGGACGGGUGAGUAACACGUGGAUCACCUACCUAUAAGACUGGGAUAACUUCGGGAAACCGGAGCUAAUACCGGAUAAUAUAUUGAACCGCAUGGUUCAUUAGUGAAAGACGGUGUUGCUUUCACAUAUGUAUUGUUCCGCAACGCAUUAGCUAGUUGGUAAGGUAACGGCUUACCAAGGCAACGAUUCGUAGCCGACCUGAGCGGGUGGUGGGGCACCCCGGAACUGAACUACGGUACAGACUACAACGGGAGGCAGCAGAGGGGUAUCGUACACAAUGGGCGAAAGCCUGACGGAGCCACGCCGCGUCGGUGGUAGAAGUCUUCGGAUCGGAAAACUCUGUUAUUAGGGAAGAACAAGUGUGUGAGUAACGAGGCACGUCUUGACGGUACCUAAUCAGAAAGCCACGGCUAACUACGUG
RNAcentral lists this ribosomal RNA (497 nucleotides) under uncultured bacterium. RNAcentral describes it as "partial 16S ribosomal RNA". It matches the Rfam family "Bacterial small subunit ribosomal RNA", at positions 28 to 507 of the family's 1533-position model. The record is from RNAcentral.